CGAAAUUGUGCGGCUGGAUCUCUCACUUUGUCCCUGAAGCGGAGAAGAAGUUUAAAGGACAGUUAAUCGCCUGAUGAAGACCGAUAGAACAUCGUGGACUUGAAUACAGCAGGCAAACGACAGUGCCACUGAUCCAGUAACACUGAUGACGACUGACGACCAGCAGCAGCAUUUUGUUAUUUUCAGGAGUAAAGCAGACCUGGACCAAUUCUCCAGAUCCAGGAGUCAGACGAAACUACAGGUUAAGAUGAAUGGAUAUGUUAAGGCAAGUUUCUGGUUGAAUUGUUCACAGCAUGAUGUGUCCAGGAACCUGAAAAGCAAGCCCCAGCUCCUGGCUGAAGACCAGGAGGGCGGUAAUUUAAGGUGGGAAAUCAAAAUGUGGGUUAGUAACUCGGGAAAAAGAAAACUGACUGCUUAACUGGAGAGUUGGGAAGAAGUCUGGGAGACUGUGAAGCCAUAGAUGCAAAAUAACAUAUACCCAUACACACACAAACAGAAAAUACAUUAACCUUAUAAAGACAAGCUCCUGAAGCUUAAUGAACAGAUAUUGAUUAAAAACCUGGCUAAGAACAUAAGCAUAUGCAAUGAAGAUCUGCUUGCUGCUUGUAUGAGUGAGAGAAUGGUGUGAAUGGUUAAUACAAUUGAUGGAAAGAUUUAAAAGAGAUGGAAAAAAAACAAAACAAAAGAAAAGUGUUUAUAAGAGUGACUCAGGAGUGCUCUUGCACUGAUUGAUCAAAGUAAGUGAUUAGUAUAGAAAGAAAAUGAAAAUAAUUAAAUAAUGUGAUAAAGUUUAAACAUGUAUUUCUUUUGCCAAGUUAAAUUGUUGAGAUAUGGCUGAGUAUGGAAAAGUUUGAGAGCUUGUGUGAAUGUGGACAGAGGAGCUUGCUGUGUGUGUGUGAUUGAGGCCUUAAAGGAGGGGUAGAUUGUUCAGAGGUGCAAAUUUGAUUAGGAGGUUUAUAAAUUAGUGUUGACACAUUGUUGUAAGGUGUUAGGCUGAAUCUGAGUAUGGUAAAGUGCUUAACCGGGGUUAUUGUUGUGUAC
This is a long non-coding RNA of Oreochromis aureus, 1041 nucleotides long. The record is from Ensembl. Lineage: Eukaryota; Metazoa; Chordata; Actinopteri; Cichliformes; Cichlidae.